This is a non-coding RNA of Peromyscus maniculatus bairdii (prairie deer mouse), 1580 nucleotides long. NCBI's taxonomy places the organism in Eukaryota, Metazoa, Chordata, Mammalia, Rodentia, Cricetidae. The record is from RefSeq and is a predicted model, not a curated record.
GUGCAAUCAGGGGGAGACCUGAUGCCAUACACAGGCCACUGCUCAGAGCAGCCAGACUCCCAGGCUCCAGACCCGCUUAGGGAACAGCAUGUAGAAAGACAUACUAAUGAGGGUCAGAGAGAAAGGAUCUUUCUCUGUGAAGUGCUGAGGAAGCCAGAAGGCUGGCUGGAAGCCCCUGGCACAGUUUGCCUGAGCAGUGUUGAAUUGAAUUGAGGUAGGCACCUUGGCAAGAUGGAAGAAAGCAGGCCACAGAUGGGACAGCCGGGGAGGUCCAGUGACGAGAGCCACAGAGUGAAAAGCCAGAUACAUUUCUUUAGGAAGCCAUCGACUUGGAUGCUUCUUUGCCCUCACUCUGCAAUGUGACGCUGGUCCUCAAUUGAGAAUUCAUUAAUUAGCAAAGGAAAAGAAGAGAAAGGCUGAAGAUGUGAGCAAUUGCUCCAGCCACCAUGCUGGCCUGCCUGCUGCCAUGUCUCCCUGCCAUGAUGAGCUCUGACCCCUCUGGAACCAUAAGCUGAAAUAAAAUCUUUCUUCGGUGUUGGAGGUACAGGUAUGCACCAGCAAUCACCAGCAAGCUCAUUUAUACAGUGCUGGAGAUGGAACCCAGGGCUUCAUGCAUGCUGUGCAAGCAUUCUACCAAGUAAGAUACAUUCCCAGCCCAUGGUUUGCCUUGCUUUGGAAGAUUCUAGAAGGUAACAAAAAGAAGGGUGUGCAGAAGUGGCAGGCCAGAGCAUGUUAUAGCAACAAACCACCUAGGAAGCACUGGAAACAGGUGAACGAGGCUAGUGUCUAAGAACUUGAAUUAUGUGGGCGCUCUUAGGUUUGAGGACCAGACAUAAUUUGUGAAAAGCAAGAGGACAUGACUUUGAGAUUGACUCCCGCCCUGCCAAGCAGACAUUGGUAGCAGCAGCCAAAGCAGGUGAUGCAAGAGAAAUGCCCUAUUUGGAAAGAGCCAUCAGGGUGUGCUCUGAAGCUGGGAGGCGUCUACAGAAACAUCUAGGAAAUCUCCCUCAUCCUGUGAGGGAGGGAGGAAGGGACUCCCAGGACGACAUAGCAGACACAGAGGGAUAAAGAAAAGUGUUGUCAGGGUGCACGCAGGAAGCUAGGUGGAGGACAGUCUCUCCUUGUCCGUGGCGUCAGUCCUUCCUACCCCCUCAGAGCCACUUCCUGCUGCCUGACCCUCUCCACGCUGUGAUAUGGGAACAGUGGUGGGGAACCGCACAUGCCCUAGUACGUGACUCUGUAGGGAGGAGUUCACACGUGCGCGUUGGAAGCAUUUUAGCACGUGCACCGUGCACCCACUUGCUUAGAUCUAGAUGUCACCCAAAUGGGUGAAAAGGAAUACGAGGCUAAAGUGGCUUCGGUGUUUGUAAACCUUCCCCUGCUAUGAGGGGAGGGUGUGAUACAUAGUGAAAACCAGACCCGCCAGACCAGAGGGACAAGACUAAACUUUGAAUAGAUCUGUUGCCUUUGUCCUAUGUGGGGCAUUUACCCACCAACCCCACAGCUCCCCAGAGUUUUCUUGAGUGCGAGCAGCAGGAAAUAUUAGAUAGAAGGAUUUAUUGUGGAGAUAAACAGAUAGA